GACGAACCGAGCGAACGUUGUUCGGAAUCACUGGGCUUAAAGGGCGCGUAGGCGGGUAUCCAAGUCUGUGGUGAAAUCCGGCAGCUUAACUGUCGAACUGCCAUGGAUACUGGGUAUCUCGAGGGAGGUAGGGGCGUGCGGAACUAUUGGUGGAGCGGUGAAAUGCGUUGAUAUCAAUAGGAACUCCGGUGGCGAAGGCGGCACGCUGGACCUCUUCUGACGCUGAGGCGCGAAAGCCAGGGGAGCAAACGGG
Molecule: ribosomal RNA, 253 nt
Filed under: uncultured bacterium
Lineage: Bacteria
Description: partial 16S ribosomal RNA
Rfam family: Bacterial small subunit ribosomal RNA
Source: RNAcentral